GGACACUGAAGAUGAAGGGAUUUGGUAUACUUUGAUAUUAAACCUUUAACAGUGCCUAUGCAUAUCCCAAGGUCUUUCAUGUUCUGCAUUUGUAGCCCAGAUUUUGGAUCGAUUUGUCCUUAUGGUGUUUUCCAUUGCUGUAACUGGGUUCAUGCAGAAGACAUGCUUUUCCUCCAAGUCUUCUGGAGUUGAACUCUCACUUCUGACUGAUUCAUUUAAAAAACUGCUGUCAGUGUGUUUCAAGCAGACAGCUGUUCUGUUUUGAUUUGAAUCAUUUACACCGCAUCAGCUUUGCUUCCAAUGUUUAAUUUCACAGCAGCUUCUCUAGCUCAGAGGCAGCUAAACUUGCUUUAGUAAUAUAAAUACCCGUAAUUAGUUUGACUAUAUUGGGUAAUCCCAUAAAUUUGACAGUCUGUGCAAUGAAGUGAAAACAAAAGCUGUCUGAAACCACUGCUGUGAGACUAUGCUAGAAUUGGUGAAUCGUUUACGUCUGAGGCCCAGUAAUAUUUGAAGAUAACACUUCCAGCUGAAGAGCUGGCUGACUAGUGUUCUAGUGCUAACCUUGUUUGUCAGGGAGUUGUGUUUUCAAUUAGCUGUGUUACUGACGCGUCUCAAGUAUGCAGUGGUCCCUAAAGAGAUUGGUCCUGUGUAGGACAGUUCACCAACAUACCUUUGGAAAAGCUGGGAAAGUUUGAAUCUUGCCCUUUUGUCUGGUGGUGGUGGUGGUUUUAAAUCUCUUAUUGAAAGCAAAAUUAUUUUGAUUAAUAAGAGACUGCUAGUGGUGGCUUACAAGGGAAUUUUUAGUCUGUAACUUGGAGGGUUUGGGAAAUCCAUGAAUGGCUUUAGGAAGUCUGUGAACACCUUCUUCCCACCUUAAAAUUUUAUGUGACUAGGUAUGUAUGUUUGUAUGAAUU
Molecule: long non-coding RNA, 914 nt
Filed under: Bos taurus (domestic cattle)
Lineage: Eukaryota; Metazoa; Chordata; Mammalia; Artiodactyla; Bovidae
Description: long non-coding RNA NONBTAT019028
Source: RNAcentral